This 253-nucleotide ribosomal RNA is filed under the name uncultured bacterium. Its description in RNAcentral is "partial 16S ribosomal RNA". It matches the Rfam family "Bacterial small subunit ribosomal RNA", at positions 524 to 776 of the family's 1533-position model. The record is from RNAcentral.
UACAGAGGUCUCAAGCGUUGUUCGGAUUCAUUGGGCGUAAAGGGUGUGUAGGUGGCGCGCUAAGUCGGGUGUGAAAUUUCGGAGCUUAACUCCGAAACUGCAUUCGAUACUGGCGUGCUUGAGGACUGGAGAGGAGACUGGAAUUCAUGGUGUAGCAGUGAAAUGCGUAGAGAUCAGGAGGAACACCGGUGGCGAAGGCGGAUCUCUGGGCCAUUACUGACGCUGAGGAGCGAAAGCGUGGGGAGCGAACAGG